Molecule: long non-coding RNA, 273 nt
Filed under: Homo sapiens (human)
Lineage: Eukaryota; Metazoa; Chordata; Mammalia; Primates; Hominidae
Description: HSALNT0041742
Source: RNAcentral
UCAGCAGGUGGCCUGGAGAGGAAGAGAAAUGGAGUUAUCACAAAAAGGAAUCUAUAGUACUUGAAAACAAGCAAGAUACAGCAAGACAGAGAAAGAUGAACCUAAGAAGAAUAAGACUUUUUUGUUUUUAGUUUGGAUGACGAAGCAAAUAAUGGAACCUGUGACAGGAAAAUUGGAGGCACAAACAUAGUGGUACAGAUUGCAAAACAGCUCAUUCAAAUCCAUUUCAUUUUAUGAAACGACAUGUGUUUUUUGAAACAAAAGUCAUUAACU